UCAAGCGAAUAAGGGCUUACGAUGGAUACCUUGGUAUCUAGAAACGAUGAAGGGCAUGGCUACCAGUGAAAUGCUUCGGGGAAUUGGAAGCAAGUAAUGAUCCGGAGGUUCCCGAAUAAGGAAACUUUUUAAACUGCUUGCUGAAUCUAUAGGCAAGAAAGAGUGAACCUGGCGAAUUGAAACAUCUUAGUAGCCAGAGGAAAAGAAAGCAAAAGCGAUUCCCUAAGUAGCGGCGAGCGAAACGGGAACAGCCUAAACCACUUUUUUUAGGUGGGGUUGUGGGACAGCACUAACGAACGAGUAACGGUUAAGCGAAAUAGUUGGAAUACUAUAUCAUAGAAGGUGAAAUUCCUGUAGCUGAAAACCCGACCUUUUCUAGCUGUAUCCCGAGUAGUAUGGAGCACGUGAAAUUCCGUAUGAAUCCACGAGGACCACCUCGUAAGGCUAAAUAUUCCUAGAUGACCGAUAGUGAAACAGUACCGUGAGGGAAAGGUGAAAAGAACCCCGGGAGGGGAGUGAAAGAGAACAUGAAAUCGUGAGCUUACAAGCAGUGGGAGGACGACAAAACGUUUAACCUCGUGCCUGUUGAAGAAUGAGCCGGCGACUUGUAGAUAGUGGCAGGUUAAGAUAGUAAAUAUCGGAGCCAUAGCGAAAGCGAGUUUUAAUAGAGCGUAUGUCACUGUUUACAGACCCGAACCCGGAUGAUCUAGUCAUGGCCAGGGUGAAGCUUAAGUAACACUAAGUGGAGGUCCGAACCGACUGAUGUUGAAAAAUCAACGGAUGAGUUGUGACUAGGGGUGAAAUGCCAAUCGAAUCCGGAGCUAGCUGGAUCUCCUCGAAAUGCGUUGAGGCGCAGCGGCUAAUUUAGUAACUUAGGGGUAAAGCACUGUUUCGGUGCGGGCUGUGAAAACGGUACCAAAUCGAGGCAAACUCUGAAUACUAACGUUAUAAUUAGCUAGUGAGACAGUGGGGGAUAAGCUUCAUUGUCAAAAGGGAAACAGCCCAGACUACCAGCUAAGGCCCCUAAAUAAUUGCUAAGUGGUAAAGGAGGUGGGAAUGCUUAGACAGCCAGGAGGUUUGCUUAGAAGCAGCAACCCUUUAAAGAGUGCGUAAUAGCUCACUGGUCAAGUGAACCUGCGCCGAAAAUGAACGGGACUAAGUAAUUUGCCGAAGCUGUAGGAUGUUUACAUCGGUAGAGGAGCGUUCUGUAUUAGGUUGAAGCGUUAGCGUGAGCGGGCGUGGACGAAACAGAAGUGAGAAUGUCGGCUUGAGUAGCGAAAACAUUGGUGAGAAUCCAAUGCCCCGAAAACCUAAGGUUUCCUCUGGAAGGUUCGUCCGCAGAGGGUGAGUCAGGACCUAAGGCGAGACUGAAAAGUGUAGUCGAUGGAUAACAGGUUAAUAUUCCUGUACCGUCUAUUACUGGCAUCGAAGGACGGAGCAAGCUAGGUCAGCCAGACGUUGGUUUCUGGUUUAAAUGUCUAAGGUGAUGAGAAGUAGAGAAAAUACUUUGAGCUAAAGCAUGAGUACAAGAUACUAAGGUAUUAAAGUGACUGAAGUUAUACUUCCUAGAAAAGUUCGUAAUGUCCUAAGUAAUAGAUGCCUGUACCCUAAACCGACACAGGUAGGUAGGUAGAGUAUACUAAGGGGCGCGAGAUAACUCUCUUUAAGGAACUCGGCAAAAUAACUCCGUAACUUAGGAAGAAGGAGUGCCUCAUUUGAGGUUGCAAAAAAUAGACCCAAGCGACUGUUUACCAAAAACACAGGUCUCCGCUAAGUCGUAAGACAACGUAUGGGGGCUGACGCCUGCCCAGUGCCGGAAGGUUAAUUGAGUUGGUUAGUGUAAAGCGAAGCUGGCAAUCGAAGCCCCGGUGAACGGCGGCCGUAACUAUAACGGUCCUAAGGUAGCGAAAUUCCUUGUCGGGUAAGUUCCGACCCGCACGAAAGGCGUAACGAUUUGGGUACUGUCUCAAAGAGAGACUCGGCGAAAUAGACAUGUCUGUGAAGAUGCGGACUACCUGCACCUGGACAGAAAGACCCUAUGAAGCUUUACUGUAGCUUGGAAUUGGGUUUAAGUUUUUCUUGCGCAGAAUAGGUGGGAAGCUAAGAAGCUAAUCUUGUGGGAAUAGUGGAGCUAACAGUGAGAUACCACUCUGGGAAAACUGAAAUUCUAACUUUGAAUGCCGUUAGCCGGCCAAGGGACAGUUUCAGGUGGGCAGUUUGACUGGGGCGGUCGCCUCCUAAAAGGUAACGGAGGCGCGCAAAGGUUUCCUCAGGCUGGUCGGAAAUCAGUCGUAGAGUGUAAAGGCAUAAGGAAGCUUGACUGCGAGACCUACAAGUCGAGCAGGGACGAAAGUCGGCCUUAGUGAUCCGACGGUUCCGAGUGGAAGGGCCGUCGCUCAACGGAUAAAAGUUACUCUAGGGAUAACAGGCUGAUCUCCCCCAAGAGUUCACAUCGACGGGGAGGUUUGGCACCUCGAUGUCGGCUCAUCGCAUCCUGGGGCGGUAGUACGUCCCAAGGGUUGGGCUGUUCGCCCAUGAAAGCGGUACGCGAGCUGGGUUCAGAACGUCGUGAGACAGUUCGGUCCAUAUCCGGUGUAGGCGUUAGAAUAUUGAGAGGGUUUCUUCCUAGUACGAGAGGACCGGAAGGAACGCACCUCUAGUGUACCAGUUAUUGUGCCAACAGUAAACGCUGGGUAGCUAUGUGCGGUAAGAAUAACUGCUGAAAGCAUCUAAGUAGGAAGUCUGCCUCAAGAUGAGUAUUCUCACCAUUUUAAAUGGGUAAGGUCACGGUAAGACUAACCGUUUUAUAGGUACUAAGUGUAAGUGCAGUAAUGUAUUUAGCUGAAGUAUACUAACAGACCGAGGGCUUGAUUAU
This 2875-nucleotide ribosomal RNA is filed under the name Corynoplastis japonica. Its description in RNAcentral is "bacterial LSU rRNA". It matches the Rfam family "Bacterial large subunit ribosomal RNA". The record is from RNAcentral. Lineage: Eukaryota; Rhodophyta; Rhodellophyceae; Rhodellales; Rhodellaceae.